Molecule: ribosomal RNA, 469 nt
Filed under: uncultured bacterium
Lineage: Bacteria
Description: bacterial SSU rRNA
Rfam family: Bacterial small subunit ribosomal RNA
Source: RNAcentral
GCUCGUGUCGUGAGAUGUUGGGUUAAGUCCCGCAACGAGCGCAACCCUUAUUGUUAGUUGCUACCAUUUAGUUGAGCACUCUAGCGAGACUGCCCGGGUUAACCGGGAGGAAGGUGGGGAUGACGUCAAAUCAUCAUGCCCCUUAUGUCUAGGGCUACACACGUGCUACAAUGGUCGGUACAAUGAGAUGCAACCUCGCGAGAGUGAGCAAAACUAUAAAACCGAUCUCAGUUCGAAUUGUAGGCUGAAACUCGCCUACAUGAAGCUGGAGUUGCUAGUAAUCGCGAAUCAGAAUGUCGCGGUGAAUACGUUCCCGGGCCUUGUACACACCGCCCGUCACACCAUGAGAGUUGGCAAUACCCAAAGUUCGUGAGCUAACCGCAAGGAGGCAGCGACCUAAGGUAGGGUCAGCGAUUGGGGUGAAGUCGUAACAAGGUAGCCGUAGGAGAACCUGCGGUUGGAUCACCUC